AGCGCCAGCCUCACGCUCGUCAUCGGCGGCCGGCACGCACCAAAACCGCACGAUCGGCUGGAUUAUCAGGCGAGGAAGGAGACAUUUUCCACCCACGAUGACGAUGCACUCAUUACAUCUGCAUGCAUGCCCUCUAUUUUUGUAUCGAAAAAAACUUUCCGUUUUGCUAGUAUUUAUUGCGUAUGUUUGGAUGCUCGCUUUUUGUUUGGGAAAAUGACAUCUACAUAUACUGCCGUGUGGCAUGGCCCAUGUGAUGCGAGAGAGCAAAGGUCUUGUACGAUACUCCAGCACUUGCUGUUACCAACAACAAGCUUCGAGUUCGAGCACUCACCGAUUUCGCCACUUCUAUGCCCAUCUGAUGCGGGGUGUAGUCGAGCCAUGACGACGUACUGUGUUUAAACAGAAACUGAAAAUAGGCAGGCAGGCAGGCAGGCAGGACACGUAUGUUUUGCACCACACGGCGACGAACCUUUUUCAGUUUCUACUGCUCGCUGUCGCCGUCGACGCAAAACCGUGAAUCGUGCCGUGCGGCCUGCACCGGCACCGAAAUGGAAAGCCAACCGCCGGCGCCGUGCACGGCGUCGUCGUCACUCGUCACUGCCCGCCGCUCACGAGGUGGCCCCGACGGCCCAGCCCAUAACACGUGCGGACCAUCUACGGCCUAAGCCCACCCAAACUGGCCCGGGCCUUCUCUCCGUCCCCGACGCCGCCACGCCAGGCUCUGCUACCCGCAGACCCUGGCCGGAGCGGACCACCGGCCGUCCGCCAACUCCGGCGAUAAAUUCUCGCUCAGAGACCGCCGCUUCCGUGGUCGCCGUCAUCAAUCUGCGGUGGGUUACUGGAGGCAGCAGGUGUGUCCACUUGGAAUUGGAAGAAACGCAUGGCUUGUCAGGCUACGGUAUCAAAUGAAAUAGGCCUGGCCGUCAUAUUCGACUUCGACGACAAAACUGUGGCGGUAACAAUCCGGAAGUGCGGCAUCUUUGGCAUGUUUGCCCUUCGUUCCUCAUAGGGAUGGCCUGAUGCUGAUGCAAGCUGGUGGCAGAAUCUAACAAGAGGCGGAAAAAAAAGAGAUUAAAAUGAACUGCCACAUUAUCUUGUCAGGUGAGCCGAGGAGAGUGAGUGGUAUGUGUAGCUUCAACUGCUCAAAUACACUAGGCCGCUGACCACAACAUAGCAGCUCACCAAACCCAGGGCAAAAGAAAGCAAAAGCUGUAUGCGUGCCCUUGGUCAAGGGAAAGCUUUUGCAUCCAUGUCUCGUCUCCUCUGCUCCACGAAUGAAUUGAGCAGGUUUAACUAACAAUUCAACAUGCUUCGAUCUUGUUUUUCCUGCUACUUUGUUCUCUUGCAAUCAUCAUCUGCGAGACCCAUGUUUUAUAGUUGGAGGCUUAUAUUUGAUUAAUAAGAGAAUAAGAAUGGAUUGAUAUU
Molecule: long non-coding RNA, 1425 nt
Organism: Aegilops tauschii subsp. strangulata
Lineage: Eukaryota; Viridiplantae; Streptophyta; Magnoliopsida; Poales; Poaceae
Source: RefSeq, a predicted model, not a curated record